Molecule: long non-coding RNA, 2245 nt
Filed under: Olea europaea subsp. europaea
Lineage: Eukaryota; Viridiplantae; Streptophyta; Magnoliopsida; Lamiales; Oleaceae
Source: RNAcentral
CUACGUGUCAAACAUGCCGUAAAACCCGUCCUUUUCUUCUUAGGUACAGUACAACAUUUUUUUUUUUGGUUCUCCUUAGUUCUGGCCAUGGUUACGGUUGUCUCUGUGUACCUGUUAUACCAAAAAGGCAAGAACACUGUUCAUGCUUCUGUAAGCUCUUACAUCACUAGGAUUGGGUUAAGGGGGGAAAAAAAAAGAUAUACACGAGUAUAUAUAAGUAUAUUCUAUUGUUUGAGUAUUCAAUAAAAAAGUUUUGUAUACCUUGUGUAUUUGGCAUCAUAUGAUCAUAGGCUCUGAGAAUUUAAUUCAAUGGCUUUGCAACCAGAGAUGCUAAACAUUGUUUUGAUACCUCUAUUGGCCCCUGGGCACAUGAUUCCAAUGGUAGACAUGGCAAAACUUUUUGCAGAACGUGGUAUUCUUGUGACUAUAGUCACGACUCCCCUCAAUGCCAUCCGGUUCACUUCGGUGAUUGAUCGUGCUAUCUCGUCUGGACUCCCCAUCCAGCUUCUUCAGCUCCAGUUUCCAUGUGAGGAAGCCGGUUUGCCCGUAGGAUGUGAAAAUGCAGACGCUUUACCGUCCUUUAAGUUAAUGAGGAACUUCUUUAUUGCAUCAAAAAUGCUACACAAGCCAUUGGAACAGACACUGCAAGGACUUAAGCCAGCUCCAAGUUGCAUUAUAUGCGAUAAGCAUCUGACAUGGACAGUUGAUUUAUCAAAUUCUCUUCAGGUUCCGAGGAUUGUUUUUGAUGGAAUGAGUUGCUUCACACAACUGAUUACGCAUAAUUUGCACAAUUCCAAGGUUCAUGAAAGUGUGCCCGAGACGGAGCCUUUCGUUGUGCCUAAUUUACCAGAUAAAGUUGAGUUUACUAAGCUCCAGCUGCCUGGAUUGUUUAAUCCAGGCUCGGCGGAUGUAGAUGAUAUUCGUAGAGAGAUUCGAGCGACUGAAACUCAAUCUUAUGGGGUGGUGGUCAAUAGUUUUGAAGAUUUGGAGCAAAGGUAUGCUGAUGAAUUUCGGAAGAUCAGAGGGGGAAAGGUUUGGUGCAUUGGUCCACUAUCACUUUUUAGCAAGGAGAAUCUAGACAAAGCUCAAAGAGGGAAUCAGGCCUCCAUUGAUACGAAUCAGUGCUUGAAGUGGCUUGAUUCACACGAGCCUAAUUCUGUAAUCUACGCGUGUCUUGGAAGCCUUGGUCGUCUAGUGCCUUCACAAUUCAUAGAGCUGGCUUUAGGCCUGGAAGCAUCAAACUACCCGUUUAUUCUAGUGAUAAGAGGAGGAGAAAAAACACAAGAAAUAGAGAAGUGGAUUUUGGAUGAUGGAUAUGAGGAAAGAAUAAAGGAAAGAGGCCUUUUAAUCCGAGGUUGGGCGCCGCAAGUACUGAUUUUAUCCCACUCUUCAAUAGGAGCAUUCUUAACGCACUGCGGUUGGAAUUCAACUCUAGAAGGUAUAUGUGCUGGCGUGCCAAUGAUCACAUGGCCUUUGUUUGCUGAGCAAUUUCUUAAUGAAAAAUUAGUAGUCCAGAUUUUGGGCGCAGGUGUAAGAGUUGGAGCUGAAGCUGUUGUAGACUUGAUCACCCAAGAAAGGCCUGGAAUGAAGGUGACGAAGGACGAGGUUAAGGCUGCCAUUGACAUGGUAAUGGAUAAGGGAAUAAAAGGAUAUGAGAGAAGGGAAAAAGUAAAAGUGCUAAAAGAAAUGGCAAAGAAAUCAGUCGAAGAAGAUGGAUCGUCCUAUCUCAACACAACGCUGCUGAUUCAAGACAUUGAGCAGCUGGUGAAGACUUAUAAGCAAUCAACAUAAGAAUCGUUCAUACCUAGUUAUUGCACAUGAUGUGUUUUAAUGUCCUAGUCUUGUUGAUUAUAAAGUAAUGCAUGUGUCAAGUUCAAGGUUGUAUUGGUGAGCUAUUCACUUAUAUCACUCGCCUUAUCAUAAAAGAAAACCAAUUCUUGAAUCCCUUUUACGCUUGUGUCAUUGAAGUACUGCGGGGGAAAAAGGACCAAGAAGAACAGCAAAAUUUGAUCCAAUUUAUUGUAAUCGAUUAGUAUUUCGAACGUCAAGUACUUGACUUAUCAAUAGUUUACAGUUUACAGUUUACAGCAUGCGAGUUUUUUAUGUCCUGUUUGCUUUUGCAGUACAGGAAGAUCUAACACUGCUUGAAGCAUGAAAUGUACAAGUUUCAUAGCUGCAAUAUCUUAAUUGGAUUUGAUGAGAAUGAAAUUAUACUGACUGAUACUAUAGUCAUUUUCUUGAAUAA